GCAUAACGCGAAGAACCUUACCUACACUUGACAUGCCUCUUGGGACUUUCAGAGAUGAUUGUUUUCGGUUCGGCCGGGGAGUGCACAGGUGCUGCAUGGCUGUCGUCAGCUCGUGUCGUGAGAUGUUGGGUUAAGUCCCGCAACGAGCGCAACCCUUAUCGUAUGUUGCCAGCAUUUAGUUGGGCACUCAUGCGAGACUGCCGGUGAUAAGCCGGAGGAAGGCGGGGACGACGUCAAGUCAUCAUGGCCCUUACGUGUAGGGCUACAAACGUGCUACAAUGGCGUUAACAAUGGGCAGCGAGGCAGUGAUGCCAAGCUAAUCCUUAAAUAACGUCUCAGUUCGGAUUGUACUCUGCAACUCGAGUACAUGAAGUUGGAAUCGCUAGUAAUCGCAAAUCAGCAUGUUGCGG
This 410-nucleotide ribosomal RNA is filed under the name uncultured bacterium. RNAcentral's name for it is "bacterial SSU rRNA". It matches the Rfam family "Bacterial small subunit ribosomal RNA", at positions 954 to 1362 of the family's 1533-position model. The record is from RNAcentral.